Molecule: ribosomal RNA, 297 nt
Filed under: uncultured Planctomycetota bacterium
Lineage: Bacteria; Pseudomonadati; Planctomycetota
Description: uncultured planctomycete partial 16S ribosomal RNA
Rfam family: Bacterial small subunit ribosomal RNA
Source: RNAcentral
AAUGAACGUUGGCGGCGUGGAUUAGGCAUGCAAGUCGAGCGGGUGUAGCAAUACACCAGCGGCGAAAGGGAGAGUAAUACGUGGAUACCUGCCCCGGCCUGGAUAGCUUCGGGAAACUGAAGGUAAUACCAGAUAACGUCUCCGGACCAAAGGUGUGAUUCCGUCCGGGGAGGGGUCCGCGGCCUAUUAGCUAGUUGGUGAGGUAACGGCCCACCAAGGCGAAGAUGGGUACGAGGCGUGAGAGCGUGUCCUCGCUCACUGGGACUGAGACACUGCCCAGACACCUACGGGUGGCUG